This 471-nucleotide ribosomal RNA is filed under the name uncultured Bacteroides sp. Its description in RNAcentral is "bacterial SSU rRNA". It matches the Rfam family "Bacterial small subunit ribosomal RNA", at positions 28 to 488 of the family's 1533-position model. The record is from RNAcentral. Lineage: Bacteria; Pseudomonadati; Bacteroidota; Bacteroidia; Bacteroidales; Bacteroidaceae.
GAUGAACGCUAGCUACAGGCUUAACACAUGCAAGUCGAGGGGCAGCAUGGUCUUAGCUUGCUAAGGCCGAUGGCGACCGGCGCACGGGUGAGUAACACGUAUCCAACCUGCCGUCUACUCUUGGACAGCCUUCUGAAAGGAAGAUUAAUACAAGAUGGCAUCAUGAGUCCGCAUGUUCACAUGAUUAAAGGUAUUCCGGUAGACGAUGGGGAUGCGUUCCAUUAGAUAGUAGGCGGGGUAACGGCCCACCUAGUCUUCGAUGGAUAGGGGUUCUGAGAGGAAGGUCCCCCACAUUGGAACUGAGACACGGUCCAAACUCCUACGGGAGGCAGCAGUGAGGAAUAUUGGUCAACGGGCGAGAGCCUGAACCAGCCAAGUAGCGUGAAGGAUGACUGCCCUAUGGGUUGUAAACUUCUUUUAUAAAGGAAUAAAGUCGGGUAUGGAUACCCGUUUGCAUGUACUUUAUGAAUA